UAUUUUUAUUGUAUAAAAUUUACCAAAAGUCCUUGGUAAAAAAUUCAACUCCAGGUUGACAAACCUUGCACCACUGUGCAACAAAAACAAUGGGCCGCAAAGAAAAAAUUGUGCUCUCCGGCAGCAACAACAACAAUGGGAGCCUGACCAGCAGGCGAAUCUGAAGACAAGAAACAGGACGAAAAAUACGAGAAAAAAAUGCAUGACGGAACUGGACAGACGCAGCGACGUCCAUGGAAGCAGCGAAGGUAGCGCAAGAGGGGAAGCUACUUGGACCAGCGAGGACUGAGAAUGAAAGUGUACUAUGAGUCCAAGCUCUUACACACACAAGCCCGCAGAUGUGUGUGUGUGUGUUUGUGUGUGGAGCAGCUGGGCCAUUGUUGGCGGACACUCACACACAUACACACACACCGCACCGGUUGUCCUGUGCUGCUGUUUCCUUCAAUAAGUUCAAAGUGGCAAGCCAAAGCGCGCUCUCACUCACAGAAGCGGGGCGCGCUCACACACAUACAUACACCGACGGGCACACAUACACUGAGACACUUUGGCGACGUGCUGCGGGGCAAAAAAAAAUACUCAGAGAGCCAGCAGAGCAAAGAAAAAGAAAAAAAACGAAACGAAACGAAUUCUGCACAGAAAAUAAAAAUUGUUUGCAAGAAAGAAUGAAAGAAAAAAUCGGAAAAAAUGCAAGCCAAGUGGUUGCUGGGCGCAUUCAAAGGGGGAGUGGGCGAAGGUAGCAGCAUGCUGGCUGUUGGGUGUGCCCGCUAUGUCUCCAACACCACCCCCCUAUUAACUGGGUUGCUGCUGCUGCCACCGCUGCCGCUGCUUUUGCUGCUGCUGAUGUCCAACGUCGCGACCGUCGACGUCUGCCGCUGCUGCUCUGCUGCGCCCGUGUGUGUCAGUUUCAGCUGCUCACAUAGUUGGCCGAAGAUAAAGGUGACGUUGAUGGCAAGGGGGAAACAAUGCAAUGGGGCCAACAAGGGGCAGGGUACGGUAGGGUAGGGUGCUGGCGAUGGGAAGACCCUCAAGUGUUGGCAUGCAAAAAAAAACACAAUAAAUAUAGCCAAGCACAUGGCGUCGUUGUCGCAGACAUACAUGUGCACAUGUAGGCAUGUGUGACACACAUACAUACACAAAUACAUAUGCAUGCUCAUAUGCUCAAGCACAUGUAGUGUGUGUGUGUGUGUGUUUAAAUAUA
Long non-coding RNA from Drosophila montana, 1198 nucleotides. RefSeq lists it as uncharacterized. NCBI's taxonomy places the organism in Eukaryota, Metazoa, Arthropoda, Insecta, Diptera, Drosophilidae. The transcript is spliced from 2 exons. The record is from RefSeq and is a predicted model, not a curated record.